UGACUAGAGAGGUACAUGAUAUGAAGCA
Molecule: non-coding RNA, 28 nt
Filed under: Homo sapiens (human)
Lineage: Eukaryota; Metazoa; Chordata; Mammalia; Primates; Hominidae
Source: RNAcentral